Molecule: ribosomal RNA, 1342 nt
Filed under: Glutamicibacter sp.
Lineage: Bacteria; Bacillati; Actinomycetota; Actinomycetes; Micrococcales; Micrococcaceae
Description: bacterial SSU rRNA
Rfam family: Bacterial small subunit ribosomal RNA
Source: RNAcentral
CUUGCUGGGUGGAUUAGUGGCGAACGGGUGAGUAACACGUGAGUAACCUGCCCCCGACUCUGGGAUAAGCCCGGGAAACUGGGUCUAAUACCGGAUAUUACCUUUGACCGCAUGGUUGUUGGUGGAAAGAUUUAUCGGUGGGGGAUGGACUCGCGGCCUAUCAGCUUGUUGGUGAGGUAAUGGCUCACCAAGGCGACGACGGGUAGCCGGCCUGAGAGGGUGACCGGCCACACUGGGACUGAGACACGGCCCAGACUCCUACGGGAGGCAGCAGUGGGGAAUAUUGCACAAUGGGCGAAAGCCUGAUGCAGCGACGCCGCGUGAGGGAUGACGGCCUUCGGGUUGUAAACCUCUUUCAGUAGGGAAGAAGCGAAAGUGACGGUACCUGCAGAAGAAGCGCCGGCUAACUACGUGCCAGCAGCCGCGGUAAUACGUAGGGCGCAAGCGUUAUCCGGAUUUAUUGGGCGUAAAGAGCUCGUAGGCGGUUUGUCGCGUCUGCCGUGAAAGUCCGAGGCUCAACCUCGGAUCUGCGGUGGGUACGGGCAGACUAGAGUGAUGUAGGGGAGACUGGAAUUCCUGGUGUAGCGGUGAAAUGCGCAGAUAUCAGGAGGAACACCGAUGGCGAAGGCAGGUCUCUGGGCAUUUACUGACGCUGAGGAGCGAAAGCAUGGGGAGCGAACAGGAUUAGAUACCCUGGUAGUCCAUGCCGUAAACGUUGGGCACUAGGUGUGGGGGACAUUCCACGUUUUCCGCGCCGUAGCUAACGCAUUAAGUGCCCCGCCUGGGGAGUACGGCCGCAAGGCUAAAACUCAAAGGAAUUGACGGGGGCCCGCACAAGCGGCGGAGCAUGCGGAUUAAUUCGAUGCAACGCGAAGAACCUUACCAAGGCUUGACAUGUGCCAGACCGCCUCAGAGAUGGGGUUUCCCUUCGGGGCUGGUUCACAGGUGGUGCAUGGUUGUCGUCAGCUCGUGUCGUGAGAUGUUGGGUUAAGUCCCGCAACGAGCGCAACCCUCGUUCCAUGUUGCCAGCACGUAAAGGUGGGGACUCAUGGGAGACUGCCGGGGUCAACUCGGAGGAAGGUGGGGAUGACGUCAAAUCAUCAUGCCCCUUAUGUCUUGGGCUUCACGCAUGCUACAAUGGCCGGUACAAUGGGUUGCGAUACUGUGAGGUGGAGCUAAUCCCUAAAAGCCGGUCUCAGUUCGGAUUGGGGUCUGCAACUCGACCCCAUGAAGUCGGAGUCGCUAGUAAUCGCAGAUCAGCAACGCUGCGGUGAAUACGUUCCCGGGCCUUGUACACACCGCCCGUCAAGUCACGAAAGUUGGUAACACCCGAAGCCGAUGG